RNAcentral lists this ribosomal RNA (901 nucleotides) under Bacillus sp. UFPI CB7-1. RNAcentral describes it as "bacterial SSU rRNA". It matches the Rfam family "Bacterial small subunit ribosomal RNA", at positions 70 to 955 of the family's 1533-position model. Lineage: Bacteria; Bacillati; Bacillota; Bacilli; Caryophanales; Bacillaceae. The record is from RNAcentral.
AGAUGGGAGCUUGCUCCCUGAUGUUAGCGGCGGACGGGUGAGUAACACGUGGGUAACCUGCCUGUAAGACUGGGAUAACUCCGGGAAACCGGGGCUAAUACCGGAUGGUUGUUUGAACCGCAUGGUUCAGACAUAAAAGGUGGCUUCGGCUACCACUUACAGAUGGACCCGCGGCGCAUUAGCUAGUUGGUGAGGUAACGGCUCACCAAGGCGACGAUGCGUAGCCGACCUGAGAGGGUGAUCGGCCACACUGGGACUGAGACACGGCCCAGACUCCUACGGGAGGCAGCAGUAGGGAAUCUUCCGCAAUGGACGAAAGUCUGACGGAGCAACGCCGCGUGAGUGAUGAAGGUUUUCGGAUCGUAAAGCUCUGUUGUUAGGGAAGAACAAGUGCCGUUCAAAUAGGGCGGCACCUUGACGGACCUAACCAGAAAGCCACGGCUAACUACGUGCCAGCAGCCGCGGUAAUACGUAGGUGGCAAGCGUUGUCCGGAAUUAUUGGGCGUAAAGGGCUCGCAGGCGGUUUCUUAAGUCUGAUGUGAAAGCCCCCGGCUCAACCGGGGAGGGUCAUUGGAAACUGGGGAACUUGAGUGCAGAAGAGGAGAGUGGAAUUCCACGUGUAGCGGUGAAAUGCGUAGAGAUGUGGAGGAACACCAGUGGCGAAGGCGACUCUCUGGUCUGUAACUGACGCUGAGGAGCGAAAGCGUGGGGAGCGAACAGGAUUAGAUACCCUGGUAGUCCACGCCGUAAACGAUGAGUGCUAAGUGUUAGGGGGUUUCCGCCCCUUAGUGCUGCAGCUAACGCAUUAAGCACUCCGCCUGGGGAGUACGGUCGCAAGACUGAUACUCAAAGGAAUUGACGGGGGCCCGCACAAGCGGUGGAGCAUGUGGUUUAAUUCGAA